Molecule: ribosomal RNA, 660 nt
Filed under: uncultured Alphaproteobacteria bacterium
Lineage: Bacteria; Pseudomonadati; Pseudomonadota; Alphaproteobacteria
Description: bacterial SSU rRNA
Rfam family: Bacterial small subunit ribosomal RNA
Source: RNAcentral
AGCGAACGCUGGCGGCAGGCUUAACACAUGCAAGUCGAACGGGCGUAGCAAUACGUCAGUGGCAGACGGGUGAGUAACGCGUGGGAACGUACCUUUUGGUUCGGAACAACUGAGGGAAACUUCAGCUAAUACCGGAUAAGCCCUUACGGGGAAAGAUUUAUCGCCGAAAGAUCGGCCCGCGUCUGAUUAGCUAGUUGGUGAGGUAAUGGCUCACCAAGGCGACGAUCAGUAGCUGGUCUGAGAGGAUGAUCAGCCACAUUGGGACUGAGACACGGCCCAAACUCCUACGGGAGGCAGCAGUGGGGAAUAUUGGACAAUGGGGGAAACCCUGAUCCAGCCAUGCCGCGUGAGUGAUGAAGGCCCUAGGGUUGUAAAGCUCUUUUGUGCGGGAAGAUAAUGACGGUACCGCAAGAAUAAGCCCCGGCUAACUUCGUGCCAGCAGCCGCGGUAAUACGAAGGGGGCUAGCGUUGCUCGGAAUCACUGGGCGUAAAGGGUGCGUAGGCGGGUCUUUAAGUCAGGGGUGAAAUCCUGGAGCUCAACUCCAGAACUGCCUUUGAUACUGAGGAUCUUGAGUUCGGGAGAGGUGAGUGGAACUGCGAGUGUAGAGGUGAAAUUCGUAGAUAUUCGCAAGAACACCAGUGGCGAAGGCGGCUCACUGG